This 85-nucleotide transfer RNA is filed under the name Rivihabitans pingtungensis. RNAcentral's name for it is "tRNA-Leu". It matches the Rfam family "tRNA". Rfam says of the family: Transfer RNA (tRNA) molecules are approximately 80 nucleotides in length. The record is from RNAcentral. RNAcentral also lists the same sequence under 2 other names. Lineage: Bacteria; Pseudomonadati; Pseudomonadota; Betaproteobacteria; Neisseriales; Aquaspirillaceae.
GCCCAGGUGGCGAAAUCGGUAGACGCAGGGGACUCAAAAUCCCCCGCCGCAAGGCGUGUCGGUUCGAGUCCGACCCUGGGCACCA